AGUCUGCAUGAUACAUAUUCAAUUAUGUGAGCUCUCUCUCUCUCUAUAUAUAUAUAAUGCAAAUUGUUCUAACGACUUCGAUCUACUAGCAACAUAUUAUAAAUCUGAAGGUUUUAAUCACGAGAGAUCUAUAGCACGGUUUAUUCCUCAUCCUUAGACAACACUAUGGCGAUGCAUCUCUUAUCCGAGCGAACCAUAACUGACAGAAGAUUCAGAGGGAACGGGGUAAAAUCCCCGUCAGUGUUAUCGAGUUUGAAAAGUAACCUAGAAACAAAGGAUGCAAAGGUUGCCGGGAAGAGGAAAUACGAGACUGAGAAGAUGAUGCCCAAUAAUGGUUUAGUCAACAUGCGUUUGUUGGUUUUAAUGACAUUGAUGUGCCUUUGCGUCCAAAGGGCCUACUUU
Ostrea edulis (European flat oyster) is the source of this 402-nucleotide long non-coding RNA. RefSeq lists it as uncharacterized. The record is from RefSeq and is a predicted model, not a curated record. The transcript is spliced from 4 exons. NCBI's taxonomy places the organism in Eukaryota, Metazoa, Mollusca, Bivalvia, Ostreida, Ostreidae.